RNAcentral lists this ribosomal RNA (2076 nucleotides) under human gut metagenome. RNAcentral describes it as "bacterial LSU rRNA". It matches the Rfam family "Bacterial large subunit ribosomal RNA", at positions 14 to 2126 of the family's 2925-position model. The record is from RNAcentral.
AGGGCGCAGGGUGGAUGCCUUGGCACUAAGAGCCGAUGAAAGACGUGAUAAGCUGCGAAAAGCUUCGGGGAGGAGCAAAUAUCCUUUGAUCCGGAGAUAUCUGAAUGGGGAAACCCGGCUGAGAAGACCUCAGUCACUGUAUGGUAAAUCCAUAGCCAUACAGAGGGAACCCGGUGAACUGAAACAUCUAAGUAGCCGGAGGAAGAGAAAGAAACAUCGAUUUUGUUAGUAGCGGCGAGCGAAAGCGAAAGAGGCCAAACCGGAGUGCGUGCACUCCGGGGUUCGGACCGCAUUUAAGAUUCAGUGAUUCUAGCAGAAAGGUUUGGGAAAGCCUGCCGGAGAGGGUGAAAGCCCCGUAAGCGAAAGGAAAACUGACUGAGCGGGAUCCAGAGUACAUCGAGACACGAGAAACCUUGAUGGAAUGAGCGGGGACCACCCCGUAAGCCUAAAUACUACUUAGUGACCGAUAGCGCAUAGUACUGUGAAGGAAAGGUGAAAAGGACCCCGGGAGGGGAGUGAAAGAGAACCUGAAACCCUGUGUCUACAAGCUGUGGGACCUCUUUAUAUGAGGGACUGCGUACUUUUUGUAGAACGGUCCGGCGAGUUGUGCGUACUGGCGAGGUUAAGGACUUAAGGUCUGGAGCCGAAGUGAAAGCAAGCGUUAAUAGCGCGUCAAGUCAGUGAGUGCAGACCCGAAACCGGGUGACCUAUCCAUGUCCAGGUUGAAGCUUCCGUAAGAGGAAGUGGAGGACCGAACCCACAUCCGUUGAAAAGGGUGGGGAUGAGGUGUGGAUAGCGGAGAAAUUCCAAUCGAACCCGGAGAUAGCUGGUUCUCCUCGAAAUAGCUUUAGGGCUAGCCUCAUGAGAGUCUUAUGGAGGUAGAGCACUGAAUUGCCUAGGGGGCGUCAAAGCUUACCAAAGCAUAUCAAACUCCGAAUGCCAUCAAGAUGAUUCAUGGGAGUCAGACCAUACGAGAUAAGUUGGAUGGUCAAAAGGGAAAGAGCCCAGACCUACAGCUAAGGUCCCAAAGUACGUGUUAAGUGGAAAAGGAUGUGGGGAUUCUAAGACAACUAGGACGUUGGCUUAGAAGCAGCCAUUCAUUGAAAGAGUGCGUAAUAGCUCACUAGUCGAGAGUCCCUGCGCCGAAAAUGUCCGGGGCUGAAACACGACACCGAAGCUUAGGAAUGUGUAAACAUUGGUAGAGGAGCAUUGCUAGCGGGAUGAAGCCAUACCGUAAGGAGUGGUGGACUGCCAGGAAGAGAGAAUGCCGGAAUGAGUAGCGAGAUGAAGGUGAGAAUCCUUCAGGCCGAAUAUCUAAGGUUUCCAGAGUAAAGCUGAUCUGCUCUGGGUAAGUCGGGACCUAAGGCGAGGUCGAAAGACGUAGUCGAUGGAUAACAGGUUGAAAUUCCUGUACCGCAUAUAAACAGAACUGUGGGGACACAGACAGGGAAUGGAAUCCGGGAAUGGAAAUCCCGGUGCAAGCGAGGUAGGAGUGCUGUUGGCAAAUCCGCAGCACGAUCUGAAGACGUGACGCGUACCGAACAUAAGUAGGGAAGUCCAGGCCCCUGGCUGUCAAGAAAAGCCGCUAUUGUUUUAUAUGUGCCCGUACCGCAAACCGACACAGGUGGAUGAGGAGAGAAUCCUAAGGCCGACGGGAGAAGUAUUGUUAAGGAACUCGGCAAAAUGACUCCGUAACUUCGGGAGAAGGAGUGCCAUGUAAAAGUGGCCGCAGAGAAUUGGCCCAAGCAACUGUUUAGCAAAAACACAGGUCUAUGCAAAACCGAAAGGUGAGGUAUAUGGGCUGACGCCUGCCCGGUGCUGGAAGGUUAAGGGGAGAGGUUAGCGCAAGCGAAGCUUUGAACUUAAGCCCCAGUAAACGGCGGCCGUAACUAUAACGGUCCUAAGGUAGCGAAAUUCCUUGUCGGGUAAGUUCCGACCCGCACGAAAGGCGUAAUGAUUUGAGCGCUGUCUCGACAAUGCAUCCGGUGAAAUUGAAGUACCAGUGAAGAUGCUGGUUACCUGCGCCAGGACGGAAAGACCCCAUGGAGCUUUACUCCAGCUUGAUACUGGGAUUCG